UGAGUUAGUGGCGGACGGGUGAGUAACGCGUGGGUAACCUGCCUUACACUGGGGGAUAACACUUAGAAAUAGGUGCUAAUACCGCAUAAGCGCACGAAGCCGCAUGGAUUUGUGUGAAAAACUCCGGUGGUGUAAGAUGGACCCGCGUCUGAUUAGCUUGUUGGCGGGGUAACGGCCCACCAAGGCGACGAUCAGUAGCCGGCCUGAGAGGGUGGACGGCCACAUUGGGACUGAGACACGGCCCAAACUCCUACGGAAGGCAGCAG
RNAcentral lists this ribosomal RNA (266 nucleotides) under uncultured bacterium. Its description in RNAcentral is "partial 16S ribosomal RNA". It matches the Rfam family "Bacterial small subunit ribosomal RNA", at positions 88 to 354 of the family's 1533-position model. The record is from RNAcentral.